AGCCAAGAUAUUUUGUGUUUUAGGACAAUACAUUUCCACGAAAUCCACGUUGUAAUUUGAAAUUCCGGCCGAAAGACAUUUUUGAUAAACAACGAUCGCAUGGGAUAUCGGAGUGUCGUUGCAACGUGUUUUAAGAUUUUAUCGAUCAUAAAUCUUUGCUGACAGAAGCGGAAAGUUUUUAAAACACCGUUGCUAUCUUAAAAAACAUGAACGUUUAA
Caenorhabditis elegans is the source of this 218-nucleotide non-coding RNA. Lineage: Eukaryota; Metazoa; Nematoda; Chromadorea; Rhabditida; Rhabditidae. The record is from Ensembl.